RNAcentral lists this long non-coding RNA (1858 nucleotides) under Erythranthe guttata (spotted monkey flower). RNAcentral describes it as "long non-coding RNA (EGUT_LNC003656)". The record is from RNAcentral. Lineage: Eukaryota; Viridiplantae; Streptophyta; Magnoliopsida; Lamiales; Phrymaceae.
UUCCAUCCAGCUGAUUGGGUUUAGCCUAAGCCAAGUCCCAAGUCGUCAAUGGAUCAGUUUUCAUCACACUAUCCCAAGGCAAGUUGUUCUCCAACGGCUAGGUACAAUUUUUGCAAAUUUUUCAGAAUUUGUCCAGGAGUGGGAGUGGGAUGAGCCUUUGCACAGCCGCUCAGUGCAAAGGCAUUUGAGGAUUUCUUGCCUAUACAGUAUGUAUUUUAAUUUUUCGUUGUCUUCUUCAUGAUUCACUUGGGGAAAUAACAUAAUUUGGAUUUUCAGUUAUUUUCUUCUUAAUUUUGAUUCCUUUUUUUUGAAUAUCAAUUGGUGGGAUUCUUAGUUUAUACGUUAUGUGAAAUUUUGAUUCAUAAGAAUACAUGACUUUACAAAUGUCAUAUAAGAAAUACAUUACAUAACCCCAUAUUUGCUUAAAAUUUUAAUAUUUGGAAUUUCUUAGUUGAUUAUUUCGUUUCUUACAUUACAAAUGUUGAUUUUUGUGCUUGGAAUUGAACUUGGUGAUGUAAAUUUCUGUGGGAUUUAGAAAAGUCGUGUUAUUGAUGCUGCUGCAAAAGAAACAUGUAUAUUUUUGAUUGUAUUGUUUCUUUUGCAAUAUUUGAAACUAUAGGGAAUCUUCUCGACUUCGAUUCAUUUUCUGUUGGAUGUUUGCUGAUUGUUAAUUAUUGUUCUUAAUUUCAGGUCACCCACGGAUCAUAAAUGGUUGAGAGACCUCAUCAAUGGCAGAUUUCACCUCAACUGAUUUGGAGCAACAAGUUGCAAAGAAUGAAAGUAUUAAUGAGCAAGACUAGAAUAACAAUACUAUCCUUUUCUGACAGACGCGGAAGAAUCAGUACCAUAGGUAAAUAAUUUGUUUAUGAAUAGUGGAAGAAAAGGAACAAGAAUGAAAGAAUAUGCAAUUCCCCCGCAUUUAAUAAAUAAUAUGAAUGUGAUUAAGCAAUAAAAUUUAGGCAGAACUCUCCAGUUUAAGAAAAAAGUCUGAAUGUUUUAACUACUUGCUGAAUAUUAGAAAAAAUAUAUUCAAUGUUGGACAGUAACAUGUUUGGAGUUUUUCCUGACAAUUGUCAAAUGAUAGUUGGUGUAUAUAUGUUCAUCAAAGUUACUGUCUUAAGAGGCAUUUGCAAUAAUUCUGUCUUCGGCUGAGUUUCUUGGUUAAAUCUUUCAGUUUCUAUAUUUCAAUUGUUGUGUGGAUAUUUAUUGUUCCUUUUUGCCAUAACAUCAUGCAAAAUGUAGAGAUCUUAGAAAUCAGGGAAUUUUUUUAGUGUUUAGUAUUUAUAGGAAUUCUUAUUUUGGACGUUAUUUUAGGUUAACCUGUGUUUACAUCUUUGUGUCACUUAAAAUCAGUUUAUUUGCUCUGUGUCUUCCAAUUUAUGCCAAAUGUUGUUCAGUUAUGUUGAUUCUUCAUACUGCCAAUUCUCAAUUAUUUUAUAUGUUGGAUUUGCAGGUUGUCAUUGAUAGCAUGGUUAUUGAAAUAGAUAAAGCACUGGAUUUUAAUUCAAUUCUACUGAUAUAUGGUCAGAAUUACUGGCACUCUUUCUGAUUAAACUCUAAAUUUAUUUCAAUAACAGGUGGAACGGGAUGAACCUCAGUAUGGUUAUAGCGAACCAGAGUUAAAAGUGUAAUUCCAUCAUAACAACAAACUAAUGUAGUCAUCUUCUUUUACUGGUAACGACUUCAUUGACACAUUCUUUUAUUGGUAACGACUUCAUUGACACAACUUCAGUUGUUAAAACUGUUCCCCAUUCAUAAGUUUUACACAUGCACAUCUUAUCUUUACGUUCAAGAAUAUGCAUUUUUGUUAUUUAACAUUUUGUAUGGACUUAAGCAUCUUCAGGUUUUUCUACAUCCA